AACGAACGCUGGCGGCGUGGAUUAGGCAUGCAAGUCGAACGGUAUCAUCCUUUCGGGGGUGAGAGAGUGGCGAACUGGUGAGUAACACGUAGGUUAUCUACCCUCAAGACGGGGACAACCCAGGGAAACUUGGGCUAAUACCGGAUGUGAGCAACUUUUAGUUGUUUGAAAGGUGGCGUAAGCUGUCGCUUGGGGAUGAGCCUGCGUCCUAUUAGUUAGUUGGUGAGGUAACGGCUCACCUAGGCAAUGAUAGGUAGGCGGCCUUAACGGGUGGUCGCCCACACUGGGAUUGAGAUACGGCCCAGACUCCUACGGGAGGCAGCAGUCGAGAAUAGUCUACAAUGGUCGGAAGACUGAUAGUGCGACGCCGCGUGAACGAUGAAUCCCUUCGGGGUGUAAAGUUCUUUUAUAUGUGAGCAGUGCUUCUUAUAUUAACAGUAUGGGGAGAGAGAUAUUAGCAUAUGAAUAAGCAACGGCUAACUCCGUGCCAGCAGCCGCGGUAAACUCGU
RNAcentral lists this ribosomal RNA (509 nucleotides) under uncultured bacterium. RNAcentral's name for it is "bacterial SSU rRNA". It matches the Rfam family "Bacterial small subunit ribosomal RNA", at positions 29 to 528 of the family's 1533-position model. The record is from RNAcentral.